Molecule: non-coding RNA, 4278 nt
Organism: Pantherophis guttatus
Lineage: Eukaryota; Metazoa; Chordata; Lepidosauria; Squamata; Colubridae
Source: RefSeq, a predicted model, not a curated record
UUUAUAAAAAGGGAAAAAUUAUAAUAUGUAUAAAAGUAAUAAAAAAUGAAACACACACACACGUGUGUAUGUAAAAUGUAAAGCAGAAAAAUACUAACAGAGAAGACUGCUAUUAAAUAUCUCUUGUUUUCUUCAUUUCCAACAAAAGAACAUGCUUUACAAUGCCAUUUAAAAAAACCAGAAUAAAGAAAGUGGGUUGUGGUUUGAAACUCAAAGAAACAUGGUCAGGAAAUGAAUUUAAGUCUUCAAAUUAAUUGCAUUCUAGAUACUGAAGGAGCUUGCCAAUAAUCUGAUCAAGUUUACAACCAAGUAAGGAAAGAUUUCUGCAAGGGGUAACAAGCUAAUCAGAAGCUUACCAACAGUGCAAAGAUUCAAAUGAAAAGACAUUGCAUAGCAGGAUGCUGAAGCUACCAGUAGUAAUAAAUGUAUUUAGCUCCUGGCUUAGUUAAUACUGUGAGAACUGAUAAAUUUGGUUCUGAUUUCAGACUGCCACAAAAAUUCUGUAUGGAAAUGUUACAACUAAAUUCUAACAAGACAGAAAGCAGAUUAAUAAUUUAUAGCAUAAAAUGAUGGGGAGUUCAGGGUAUGGUUGAAUGAAUAAGAAAUCUGGCAUGUAAAGAAUUAAUUAAAAGGACUGGAAAAAAUUCAAUAUAUCAAUCACAGGUGCAUCAUCAGUCUCAAGUCCCUUUGCACCCACAAGAGAUCUAAGUCCAGCCCACCUUGAAUUCUGUUCACUCUUAUCUACCACCGAUUCACUUCGACCAUUAGUAGUUCAGAUUCUUAGAAUGUUAACCUGCAAUAAACCUGUAUUCAUUUGAACCAACUUGGCUCCUGAUUUCCUGCGCUUGAUAUACUUCACUGUGCUACAUUUUUAUUUCAAAUAUUGCUCUUCAGUUAUCAGCAAUGAGCAGAGAACAGGGUGUAACAAAUUGUAAUAGGGUUACAACAUCUGUUUGCAAAGCAUUCUGGAGAGGCCUUGAUGCAUAUCACUCCUGUGAUUAAAAGCUGUAAUUGUUGUGCAUAUUUUCUCCUUCCCUCUUCAUUUGCCAAAUAGAGAAAAGGGUAAACAAAGCAGCUAUUUUUUGCAGACCUUCCGACAAUCUGAAAGUUCCUAAGUGUUUGGAAUAGUGUGAAGCUAAAGAACAAACUCUGCAUUUGUAUUGUACUUCAAGAAAACCUCUUGCUUCACCUAUAAAGCACAGGGAUGACUGUGUACCAUGCAAUACAUUGUUUUAGUUUCCCAAGAAAAGUGUUUCUUCAUCAAGGCAAUUAAAAGUACAAUAGAAUAAAAAUAAUUUAUCAGUCUAUUAACCUGGUAGACUCAGCCGUGAGCUCAGUUAAACUCUGCUUCCCAAAGAGAAUGGGGCUAGGGACCUCUUUGUGUCUUAUACACUCUAUCUAAAUGCUAUGGAAAACAUAGAGCUAUAGACUGAACAACAAAUAAUUUUCAAAUUAAAAUAUGCAAUAUAAGUAUGCCUUACUUGAUUGCCCAAAGAUCCAAUAUCCUUCUCGAAUAUUUUGUGUACACAUGGGUAUAAUAGGCUAAAGGAAAAAAAAAGAUAUUUUUUUUAAAAAAAUAUUUAAUUAUAUUAAAGUAUUAAGAGACCAUCAGCCCCUAUUUUAUUUAUUUAUUUAUUUAUACAGGUAGUCUUCAAUUUACAACAAUUCAUUUUGUGACUGUUCAAAGUGAAAAAAGUGACUUGGGACAGUUUUCACACUUACAACCAUUGCAACAAUCUCCUGGUCACAUGAUCAAAAAUAAGACAUUUGGCAACUGACUCAUAUUUAUGACGUUUGCAGUGUCCCAGGGUCAUGUGAUCACCAGUUGUGACUUUCUGAAAGCAAAGUCAAUGAGGGAGCUAGAUUCACUUAACAACAAUGUUACUAACUUAAGAACUGCAGUGAUUCAUUUAACAACUGUGGCAAAGAAAGUUGUAAAUUGGAGCAAAGCUCACUUAACAACUGUCUCGUUUAACAACAGACAUUUUGGACUCAAUUGUGGUCCUAAGUCAAGGACUACCUAUACUUCAUAUUUAUUAAUUUUCCAUUUCCCUUGGAGAGGGGCUCUGGGCAGUACACGAGAUCAUCAAUAUAAUGAAACAUUAAAAUCAGAGUAAUUAAAAGUUUUAAAAUUAUAAAAAACAUCAUUAUAAAAAUUUCAGAAGGUGAAGACUUUGUCAAAGAGGCACAUGUGGCUGUUUUGAAUAUGUAUGAGAGGAGCGAGGUUCCUCACCAUUUUAAGCUACUCUUUGCACAAAAGUUGGGAUAAACAUUAAUCACUUGGGCACCCCUUAUUUUGAUACGCUGAGGUCUUUUCACAGAGCAGGUAUUAUAAUUUCUUACUGAUCUUGCUUAGUUCUGAUGCACAGCCCUAACAUUCUUAUCUUUUCUAACUCAAUCUGCACUUAAGGUAUGCCUAAUUAUUAUCAUUGAUCAACGAUAGUUUUUCUUAAUAUUUAAGACUCUGCCUUUCAGCCUCAUAAUCUUCAAUUUCUAUAUGCUUAAAACAAAUAUAAGACUAGCAACACCAAUCAUAAUGUAGUGAUGUCUGGUCAAAUAAUUUUAUUAUAUUUUGCAAAGCAUACACAUUAGAACAACAGCAUAAACUAAUGAUCAAGAAAAAAAUAAAGAGUAAAAAGAGAAUAGGGAUAGAAAAGUAUAAAGGAAAAGAAAGGAAAACAUAAAUAUAUACAAACAAUGACGUCUGGCUGCUUCCAAGCAUAUGAAGAACCCUUUUUCUAUUUUCCCUUUUCUUUUGGGGAGAAAAUGGACAUUUUGCUACGGUCUUAAACUAAGAGUUGAAUAUAAUGUACUAGUUUGGAUUGCAUGUCACAUUAAAUAUCCACCCACAUUAAAUAUCAAUCAAUUACUCAAUCAUGUAGCAGGGAGUUCUGGAUUAUAUUUUACAUUUGUUUUGCUCAAUAUCCAUAAUUUAUUUGGUUAUUCACAGUUCCUUCUAUAUAAUAUGAAUCUCAUGAACCAGAAUGGCUUUUUUUCAAGCACAAAUUAUAAAGAGAAUUUGUGAUAAAUAUAGAACAGUCAGUACUAAAAUAAACACACCUUCUAAAAUGGAAACAAUAAUGUUGUCACCCAGAAAAAACAGGGAACUUUUUUAGGGCCAAUGGCACACAGGGAAUUUGAACACUUGCAGCAAAUACUUUCAUAAAAGUUUCCUGUUGCACAUUCAGAAAACAUUCAGUAGAUAUGUGAAUAUCUACUACUUAAUGUGUAUCAGUUGCAUUAUCAAGGGACAAUCUGGUUUCUUUAAGAGAGAAACACUCUCUUGUUUCUUAUGGCCAAAAUAAUUUUAUCUUUACUCAAUAAUGCAAUCAAUAGUAGCACUAUCAAAAUACCAUAUUUAUUCCUUAGUUUAAGAACUCUUACUAACUAUUCAAUUAUUUUGGUUUAAUUUGUAGACGUAAUCUGAAGAUAAAACUUUUAUUACCUUACUUUUUUCAUGGCCCAUAACAAGCCUCAAAUUUUGCAAUAGGAUUUAAAAGGCAUUGCUUUCUUAAUCCCCGAAUAUAAAUGUAUUAUACAAUUCAAAGAUAUCUGCUCCAGCCACUUCCUAGAACAGUGCUAUUUUCUUUUUUCUUUUUUUAGUUCAGUGACGCAGAAUGUGCUGCGAGCUGCACUGGCUCCCUAUUGGUCUCCGGUCACAAUUCAAGGUGGUUAUUACCUUUAAAGCCCUACAUGGCCCUACAUGGCUCAGGGCCAGGUUAUCUUCGAGACUUCCUUCUACCGCAUAGCUCCCAGCGACCGGAAGCCUCAAGUUUGGCAAUGACUUUCAAGCAUCUUUAAAAAAAAAAGAAGAGGAGGAAGAAGAAGAAGCUAACGGUGGAUUCCUGGUAGGGGGAGCCGCCUGUUGAGACAUCCCACGCUUGACACACUGGGGAUAAGAGCAAAGCAAAGAUCUCACCAUGCAAAACCGGAAACGCUAUGGAAGGAUCGUGGGCUGCAAUGGGGGGAAGGGCAUAUUCACGGUGAUGGGGGUGAUAGAGGCUUGGUAGGCGGACGGUCAUGCUGCGGACGGGAUAGGGGCCGUUUGGUUGUUUGCUGCCGCCUAUUUGCGCAUCCGAGUGACGUGGCAGCUGGCGCAAUUGCGGGGCUGGAAACCCGGAAGCGUAGCCGAUUGGAAGACUGAGUGGCGCGGCUAUUUAAACGGCGUUAGGUUGCAGUAGAUCCCAAAGCCAACUUUGUGUUAUUGCAUAUUGACCUCAACCUUUGUCUGCGGCAAACCUGGAGAAUAAAUAAACCUGUUUCCUGCUCAAGGCUUUA